AACCCAUAGUGAGGGCACCUUCUCAAUAAAUCCUUGUAUCUUUCCCAUGCAUCAUAAAGUGUUUCUAAAUCCAUCUGCACAAAAGAAGAGACAUCAUUCCUCAACUU
Non-coding RNA from Gossypium arboreum, 107 nucleotides. NCBI's taxonomy places the organism in Eukaryota, Viridiplantae, Streptophyta, Magnoliopsida, Malvales, Malvaceae. The record is from Rfam.